Perognathus longimembris pacificus (Pacific pocket mouse) is the source of this 2542-nucleotide long non-coding RNA. RefSeq lists it as uncharacterized. Lineage: Eukaryota; Metazoa; Chordata; Mammalia; Rodentia; Heteromyidae. The record is from RefSeq and is a predicted model, not a curated record. The transcript is spliced from 3 exons.
UCCACCUUUUCCCCUGAAACCCCAAGCCCCAAUUAACAGGCAAAUUCCUCUCUACCACAAAGACCCAGCUACUACUGUCUCAUAGUGCCUGUUUCUGUCUCCUGAACGUUAACAGGCACAGCUCCCCCCACCCCAUGGACUACCACUUUUAGACUGGCACAUACGUUUCACAAGACAGCUUUUGUGGUUUCAAUUUUUUUCCUUCAUAAGUUUGCAGCUGCUAGUUUUGAAACCACUAGCCCUGAAGCAAGUGAGUGAGCAAGAGAGAAGAGAGAGAGAGAGAGAGAAAAAGAGAGAGAGAGAAGAUAUAAAGGGGAUCUAAUAAGAUGACUUUUCGUGAAUCACUUAUUACCUCCCAGCAGUCUCUGUGGAAGCCUCAUUCUUGCUUGGCCUCCCCUGCAGACUUCAAGACUACUGGACACACUUAGGGGUUUGUGAAUAAGAGUGCUUUUGAUGAAGUGAGCUUCAUUUGCCUAUGUAGUGGCUGCCUGAGGGUGACAGGUGAAUUGAGAAUGGCCAAAAUUUUUCAGUUGUGAUUUGAAGUGGCCUCCAUGUCCUGCUUGAAUGUGUGCACCAGAAGGUACAACCCAUGUGUUCAGGCUGGGGAGGGGAAAGGUAGAAAGAACAGGAAUAUACUGAUGGGGUUUGUGCAUGACGGAGUGCUGGUGUUCAGAUACCCUAAGUAUCCAAACACGGAUGCUAUUGAGGCAAGAAGAAAAGCCAGCAAUAGCUGAAUCCAGAGAAAACCAUUCACCUUCAGGUCUUCCCUUGCCCUUGCUACAUCACCUGGCAUUUGUGGGAGUUAAUUAUAGCUUUUAUCAGGACCCAAUGAACAGCUCAGUUUGUAGCCUGGAAUCAAACCUUGGGCAGAGUGUGGAGGGUGUUCAGGAGACUGAGCUGGAAAACCUAUUGGGGGUGGCACCUGUGUACCACCUAUUCAGGGCACUCCAACCUGAACCUCAGAGUUCUCUGAACCUAAUUAAAGCUCUUUUGCUGAUGCUUUGACCGGAGAAGGCAGGGAAAAAAUGUGGGCUAUUGGAGAUCUCCAUUCCCACUCAUCUUGUUUCCGCCUCUCCCAGAGCAACAAACCUCUUCCAAUCUUAUAUCUAAGUCACUUAUGUUCACCCUUUUCCUCAUACACUUUCUCAAGUUUCUAGGAUAUCCCCUAAUGGCUUGCACUAGAUUGUUUUUCUUUGUAUGAACCCUGAAAUAUCUAACACAAUCACUCCUUUUCAUGUACUAGGCACCUUAUACAUGGUUAUUUAACUGAAUGGGAUGCAAUGGUGGCUGUCUUAUCCUCUUACAAAAACAUACACAUAAUUUCCUUUCAUAGAUAAAAGAAAAUCUUACUCCCUAUGGCCCCACCCAUAAAGGUGAAGGCUAAAGUCUUACUCCUUUUUCUCAAUUUCCAUCUCAUGCAGGUGGGAGAUGUCUCAUACUGUGUCACUACUACAGACCUUGCACACUCUUCCCAUGGCCAUGCUAAUGCCUUUGUCAGUCCAUCUAGUAAAGAGCAGGUCCUUUAGUAAGUCAGCCCCAGGGGUACCUCUUCUGGGAAGCCAUCCUGACUCCUGAGGUCUUCCUAGAACAUUCUUCAGUUGGCCUCUUGUCAUAUUUAACAGCUAUUAUUGUGUAAGUGCUUGCUUUGUUUUGUAACUUGAGUGCUCAUCUGUGCUUGUUUUCUUCAAGAGACCUUGAAUUCAUCAAAGGCAGGGACUAAAUCUCAUACACAACUGGCAUUCACAAUCCCGCCCAGAAAUCACUGGCACUCAGUAAAUGUCUGAUAAUAAGAAUUAAUAAAAGAAUGAAUGAGUGGCACUGGCCUAUUCCUGGAAUUCAAGCAGGGAAUUCCUGUUCUCCUUCUUUCCUUUUCUUUCCCACACAUGGCCACCUCCUGGAGCUCAGCACACACAUAUGGCAUGAGGAAUGUAUUUUUCUUUUAUUUCCAGUUCUGAAAUGUUUCUAUCCUUGUUCUGUCAGAUCACACACAGCCAUUCCUACUCAAUACAUUCCUAAUGUUCACAAGAACAUUGAUUCAUCACCUGUGAUACGGACACCUGUGUGGAUGAGCCUUUGCUAGAUCACAGCGUACCUCCCCCAUAAAACCCCCUAACCCGAGCUCAUGGGAAUUUCCCUUUUAUUCUGAAUCAACUAACCCUAUUAAUACUGCCUGACCCCAAUUUAUCUUCUCUUCUAUUUUUUAUUGUUACACUAUCAUUUUAUACACAACUGCACACAACGGUUAUGGUGGAAUGAACUACAUAUUUUGUUUCCUUUUAAAAUCCGUGUCAAAUCCUAGCCCCUAAUGCCAGAAGAUGACAUCUUCGGGUAUUGAGUUAGUUAUAGGGAUGGAAGUACAUUAGAUUGGAAUUAUAUUGGAAGUAAAUCAUCAAAAUAUCAUUGCAUAGAUUACAUAUAGGGUAACAGAUUGUUUUCUGGUUGCAAAAUCAUGGGUAUAUUUGCAUUUUCCUUUUGUGCUUUUCUUCAUGUUUUGCAAGUAGUAUACAAAAUUAAAUAUCAGCAGAUGUCAGUGCUUUAGAAG